UGCCCUAGUAACGGCGAGUGAAGCGGCAACAGCUCAAAUUUGAAAUCUGGCGCAAGCCCGAGUUGUAAUUUGUAGAGGAUGCUUCUGGGCAGCGGCCGGUCUAAGUCCCUUGGAACAGGGCGUCAUAGAGGGUGAGAAUCCCGUAUGCGACCGGCUGGCACCCGUCACGUAGCUCCUUCGACGAGUCGAGUUGUUUGGGAAUGCAGCUCUAAAUGGGAGGUAAAUUCCUUCUAAAGCUAAAUACCGGCCAGUGACCGAUAGCGCACAAGUAGAGUGAUCGAAAGAUGAAAAGCACUUUGGAAAGAGAGUUAAAAAGCACGUGAAAUUGUUGAAAGGGAAGCGCAUGCAACCAGACUUGUCGGCGGUGUUCCGCCGGUCUUCUGACCGGUUCAUUCGCCGUCGGCAGGCCAGCAUCAUCUGGGUGCGCCGGAUAAAGGCGUGGGGAAUGUGGCCCCUCGGGGUGUUAUAGCUCCACGCACAAUACGGCGCCGCCCGGGUGAGGUCCGCGCUUCGGCUAGGAUGCUGGCGUAAUGGUUGCCUGCGACCCGUCUUGAAACACGGACCAAGGAGUCUAACAUCUAUGCGAGUGUUCGGGUGUCAAACCCCUACGCGGAAUGAAAGUGAACGGAGGUGGGAAGCUUCGGCUGCACCAUCGACCGAUCCUGAUGUCCUCGGAUGGAUUUGAGUAAGAGCAUAGCUGUUGGGACCCGAAAGAUGGUGAACUAUGCCUGAAUAGGGUGAAGCCAGAGGAAACUCUGGUGGAGGCUGGCAGCGGUUCUGACGUGCAAAUCGAUCGUCAAAUUUGGGUAUAGGGGCGAAAGACUAAUCGAACCAUCUAGUAGCUGGUUCCUGCCGAAG
Molecule: ribosomal RNA, 858 nt
Filed under: Parateratosphaeria stirlingiae
Lineage: Eukaryota; Fungi; Ascomycota; Dothideomycetes; Mycosphaerellales; Teratosphaeriaceae
Description: eukaryotic LSU rRNA
Rfam family: Eukaryotic large subunit ribosomal RNA
Source: RNAcentral